AUUUCCACGCGGCUCAGCAGCCCGGAGCAGCUGCACCCGGCGGGUGAGCGGCUGC
RNAcentral lists this microRNA precursor (55 nucleotides) under Sorex araneus (European shrew). Its description in RNAcentral is "miRNA (ENSSARG00000017867.1)". The record is from RNAcentral. Lineage: Eukaryota; Metazoa; Chordata; Mammalia; Eulipotyphla; Soricidae.